Molecule: unclassified non-coding RNA, 21 nt
Filed under: Mus musculus (house mouse)
Lineage: Eukaryota; Metazoa; Chordata; Mammalia; Rodentia; Muridae
Description: oocyte_clustered_small_RNA1967
Source: RNAcentral
CAGAGACCCUGUAAACCCAGA